Non-coding RNA from Triticum aestivum (bread wheat), 115 nucleotides. NCBI's taxonomy places the organism in Eukaryota, Viridiplantae, Streptophyta, Magnoliopsida, Poales, Poaceae. The record is from Rfam.
AUCCUACUCCCUCCGUUCGGAAUUACUUGUCAUAAGAAUGGAUGUAUCUACAACUAAAAUACAUCUAGAUACAUUCAUUUUUUUGACGAGUAAUUCCGAAUGGAGGGAGUAUGUC